AGAGCGAACGCUGGCGGCAGGCUUAACACAUGCAAGUCGAGCGCCCCGCAAGGGGAGCGGCAGACGGGAGAGUAACACGUGGGAACGUACCCUUUGGUUCGGAACAACCCAGGGAAACUUGGGCUAAUACCGGAUAAGUCCGUAAGGAGAAAGAUUUAUCGCCAAUGGAUCGGCCCGCGUCUGAUUAGCUAGUUGGUGAGGUAAUGGCUCACCAAGGCGACGAUCAGUAGCUGGUCUGAGAGGAUGAUCAGCCUCACUGGGACUGAGACACGGCCCAGACUCCUACGGGAGGCAGCAGUGGGGAAUAUUGGACAAUGGGCGCAAGCCUGAUCCAGCCAUGCCGCGUGGGUGAUGAAGGCCCUAGGGUUGUAAAGCCCUUUCGGCGGGAAGAUAAUGACGGUACCCGCAGAAGAGCCCGGCUAACUCGCGCCAGCAGCCGC
RNAcentral lists this ribosomal RNA (440 nucleotides) under uncultured bacterium. Its description in RNAcentral is "SSU rRNA". It matches the Rfam family "Bacterial small subunit ribosomal RNA", at positions 26 to 518 of the family's 1533-position model. The record is from RNAcentral.